RNAcentral lists this ribosomal RNA (1381 nucleotides) under uncultured bacterium. Its description in RNAcentral is "bacterial SSU rRNA". It matches the Rfam family "Bacterial small subunit ribosomal RNA". The record is from RNAcentral.
AGAGUUUGAUCCUGGCUCAGAACAAACGCUGGCGGCGUGCCUAACACAUGCAAGUCGUACGAGAAAAUCCGCUUCGGCGGGUGAGUAAAGUGGCGCACGGGUGAGUAACGCGUGGAUAAUCUGCCUUUAAGCGGGGAAUAACUUACCGAAAGGUGGGCUAAUACCCCAUAAAGCUAUGGAGCUCCGGUUUUCAUAGCCAAAGAGAGCCUCUGCAUGCAAGCCCUCACUUAGAGAUGAGUCCGCGUACCAUUAGCUAGUUGGUGGGGUAAUGGCCUACCAAGGCGACGAUGGUUAGCUGGUCUGAGAGGAUGAUCAGCCACAAUGGAACUGAAACACGGUCCAUACACCUACGGGUGGCAGCAGUGAGGAAUAUUGGUUAAUGGGCGAAAGCCCGAACCAGCAACGCCGCGUGUGCGAUGAAGGCCUUCGGGUUGUAAAGCACUUUUGGAGGGGAAGAGAAGGGACGGUACCCUCCGAAUAAGCCUCGGCUAACUACGUGCCAGCAGCCGCGGUAACACGUAGGAGGCGAGCGUUAUCCGGAUUUACUGGGUGUAAAGCGCGUGCAGGCGGUUCGGUAAGUUGGAUGUGAAAGCUCCUGGCUUAACUGGGAGAGGUCGUUCAAUACUGCCGGGCUAGAGGAUGGGAGAGAGAGGUGGAAUUCCGGGUGUAGUGGUGAAAUGCGUAGAUAUCCGGAGGAACACCAGUGGCGAAGGCGGCCUCCUGGCCCAUUUCUGACGCUCAGACGCGAAAGCUAGGGGAGCGAACGGGAUUAGAGACCCCGGUAGUCCUAGCCGUAAACGAUGUGAACUUGGCGUCGGCGGGUUUAAAAUCCGUCGGUGCCGCAGCUAACGCGAUAAGUUCACCACCUGAGUACUACGGCCGCAAGGUUAAAACUCAAAGGAAUUGACGGGUCCCCGCACAAGCAGCGGAGCGUGUGGUUUAAUUCGUUGCUACACGAAGAACCUUACCAGGGUUUGACAUACAGGUGGUAGUGAAGCGAAAGCAGAACGACCCUUCGGGGAGCCUGUACAGGUGGUGCAUGGUUGUCGUCAGCUCGUGUCGUGAGAUGUUCGGUUAAGUCCGCUAACGAGCGCAACCCUCACUGUGUGUUAUACGUGUCACACGGGACUGCCGGUUUUAAGCCGGAGGAAGGCGAGGAUGACGUCAAGUCAGCAUGGCCUUUAUAUCCUGGGCUACACACACGCUACAAUGGUCUGUACAGCAGGUUGCCAAACCGCAAGGUGGAGCCAAUCCCUAAAACAGGCCUCAGUUCAGAUUGCAGGCUGCAACCCGCCUGCAUGAAGCCGGAGUUGCUAGUAACCGCAGGUCAGCUAUACUGCGGUGAAUACGUUCCCGGGUCUUGCACUCACCGCCCGUCAAG